Molecule: ribosomal RNA, 503 nt
Filed under: uncultured bacterium
Lineage: Bacteria
Description: partial 16S ribosomal RNA
Rfam family: Bacterial small subunit ribosomal RNA
Source: RNAcentral
AUUGAACGCUGGCGGCAGGCUUAACACAUGCAAGUCGAGCGGGGUGAUGGUGCUUGCACUAUCACUUAGCGGCGGACGGGUGAGUAAUGCUUAGGAAUCUGCCUAUUAGUGGGGGACAACAUCUCGAAAGGGAUGCUAAUACCGCAUACGUCCUACGGGAGAAAGCAGGGGAUCACUUGUGACCUUGCGCUAAUAGAUGAGCCUAAGUCGGAUUAGCUAGUUGGUGGGGUAAAGGCCUACUAAGGCGACGAUCUGUAGCGGGUCUGAGAGGAUGACCCGCGACACUGGGACUAAGACAAGGCCCAGCCUCCUACGAGAGGCAGCAGUGGUGAAGAUUGGACAAUGGGGGGAACCCUGAUCCAGCCAUGCCGCGUGUGUGAAGAAGGCCUUAUGGUUGUAAAGCACUUUAAGCGAGGAGGAGGCUCUUUUGGUUAAUACCCAAGAUGAGUGGACGUUACUCGCAGAAUAAGCACCGGCUAACUCUGUGCCAGCCGCCGCCGUAA